Molecule: ribosomal RNA, 450 nt
Filed under: uncultured bacterium
Lineage: Bacteria
Description: partial 16S ribosomal RNA
Rfam family: Bacterial small subunit ribosomal RNA
Source: RNAcentral
GUGGGGAAUUUUGGACAAUGGGCGCAAGCCUGAUCCAGCAAUGCCGCGUGCAGGAAGAAGGCCUUCGGGUUGUAAACUGCUUUUGUACGGAACGAAACGGUCCUGGUUAAUACCUGGGGCUAAUGACGGUACCGUAAGAAUAAGCACCGGCUAACUACGUGCCAGCAGCCGCGGUAAUACGUAGGGUGCGAGCGUUAAUCGGAAUUACUGGGCGUAAAGCGUGCGCAGGCGGUGCUGUAAGACAGGCGUGAAAGCCCCGGGCUCAACCUGGGAAUUGCGCUUGUGACUGCAGUGCUGGAGUACGGCAGAGGGGGAUGGAAUUCCGCGUGUAGCAGUGAAAUGCGUAGAUAUGCGGAGGAACACCGAUGGCGAAGGCAGUCCCCUGGGCCUGUACUGACGCUCAUGCACGAAAGCGUGGGGAGCAAACAGGAUUAGAAACCCCGGUAGUCC